RNAcentral lists this ribosomal RNA (481 nucleotides) under uncultured bacterium. RNAcentral's name for it is "partial 16S ribosomal RNA". It matches the Rfam family "Bacterial small subunit ribosomal RNA", at positions 30 to 507 of the family's 1533-position model. The record is from RNAcentral.
UUGAACGCUAGCGGCAUGCUUUACCCAUGCAAGUCGAACGGUAACAGGCCGCAAGGUGCUGACGAGUGGCGAACGGGUGAGUAAUGCAUCGGAACGUGCCCAGUCGUGGGGGAUAACUACUCGAAAGAGUAGCUAAUACCGCAUACGAUCUAUGGAUGAAAGCGGGGGACCGUAAGGCCUCGCGCGAUUGGAGCGGCCGAUGUCAGAUUAGGUAGUUGGUGGGGUAAAGGCUCACCAAGCCAACGAUCUGUAGCUGGUCUGAGAGGACGACCAGCCACACUGGGACUGAGACACGGCCCAGACUCCUACGGGAGGCAGCAGUGGGGAAUUUUGGACAAUGGGCGCAAGCCUGAUCCAGCAAUGCCGCGUGCAGGAAGAAGGCCUUCGGGUUGUAAACUGCUUUUGUACGGAACGAAACGGCUCUGGUUAAUACCCGGGGCUAAUGACGGUACCGUAAGAAUAAGCACCGGCUAACUACGUG